UACGUAGGGGGCGAGCGUUGUCCGGAAUCAUUGGGCGUAAAGCGCGUGUAGGCGGCUCGAUAAGUCCGGUGUGAAACCUUGGGGCUCAACCCCAAGCCUGCACUGGAUACUGCCGAGCUAGAGUCCGGGAGGGGAGAGCGGAAUUCCAGGUGUAGCGGUGAAAUGCGUAGAUAUCUGGAGGAACACCGGUGGCGAAGGCGGCGUUCUGGACUGCAACUGACACUGAGGAACGAAAGCCAGGGGAGCAAACGGG
Molecule: ribosomal RNA, 253 nt
Filed under: uncultured bacterium
Lineage: Bacteria
Description: partial 16S ribosomal RNA
Rfam family: Bacterial small subunit ribosomal RNA
Source: RNAcentral